CACGCAGACCGUUCUGUCGCUCCGGGAAACCGGAGAGGAAAGUCCGGACAACACAGGGCAUCAUGCUUCUUAACGGGAAGAUAUCCGAAAGGGUAUGGAAAUGUAACAGAGAACAACAGCCUAAGUCUGAGCAAUCAGACCGGUGAUGGUGAAAAGGCGGGGUAAGAGCCCACCGGCUGUGGUAGCAAUAUCGCGGGCCGUACAUCCCAUGGGUUGCAAGGCCAUGUAUAUCAGCACUCCGGUUCGCCGGAUAAGAACUGCCCGUUCGAGCUGAGGGGUAGGCCGCUGGAGUUGUUCAGUGAUGAACAGCCAAGAUAAAUGACAGAAAUCCGCUUUCGGGCGGAGACAGAAUCCGGCUUACAGGUCUGCUUUUUUU
Molecule: RNase P RNA, 376 nt
Filed under: Bacteroidetes bacterium GWF2_38_335
Lineage: Bacteria; Pseudomonadati; Bacteroidota
Also listed under: 2 other names
Description: RNase P RNA component class A
Rfam family: Bacterial RNase P class A
About the family: Ribonuclease P (RNase P) is a ubiquitous endoribonuclease, found in archaea, bacteria and eukarya as well as chloroplasts and mitochondria.
Source: RNAcentral